RNAcentral lists this long non-coding RNA (5236 nucleotides) under Sus scrofa (pig). Its description in RNAcentral is "lncRNA (ENSSSCG00060002465.1)". Lineage: Eukaryota; Metazoa; Chordata; Mammalia; Artiodactyla; Suidae. The record is from RNAcentral.
CUGAGCCCGACAUGGGCUGAUGGUUUGAAAUGAGGGGUCUGGCUGGCAAAUUCAAGCCCAGACCCUCUCCACACCUCCCCCUGCGAUCACCCUCUUGGGAGACGCCAGGGGUACCAUUUUGUCCACGUGACACCCCCAGGUUCAGAGGGCUGACUCCUUAGACUCAGGCGGACAUGGAGUUGGGCUCAGACCAGGAAAGCCCUGGCCCCUGAGUUCACGUUCACUGCACAGAGACCCCCCUGGGUCGUCUUCUCUUCUGAGCUCGUUUCUCCACCUGGCUCUCAGGCAGACCCUCUGGAAGCUGUGACUCACCCAGUAAGAUGUCCUCAAACCUGCCCCAGAGCUGGCCUCUCCUGUGAUAACUGCAAAUGCCUAUGUGCUGAGUAGGCAGGUCUGUUCUCUAUUCCUCAGGACGCCACAGGGAUCUUAUGAAUGUUAGUAUAACAGACAAGGUAGCAGAAGCUCAGACACAGGCUACACCUUCUCUAAGCCCCACAGCCAAGCAGGGCAGAGCAGAUCUUUGGAUGCUCUGGGUCUCACGCCCAAGCCACACUGCCAACCUCAGCAUUUCAUUCCCCUUCCAGACCUUUCUCUUCACCCCCUCCCUGAGCUGAGACCCCAACAAGUAGUAGAAGCUUGAGGGGAGCUGGGGACAAGCCGAGGGUGCUCUGUGCCCAUCACACCCCCAACGCUGGUCCCCAGCUCCUUCCCAUCUCUGGCUCCAGUGUGGAGAGGCAGGCAGCCAGCUGCAGGGCCAGGCGCCUCUGGGGAAAACAAAUAAAAAUAAACAGUGAUAACUCAGUCCCCGGUGGGUACAUGGGCCACAGCUGUAGCCAAUUAACAUUCCUCUAGGGUUUGGGGUGCCUCUCCUCCAGCAGCACCUCAUAAAUGUCAGGAGGGGCUUGGGUUUUUCUGAGGCCUGACUGAGGCUAGCACCCUGAGCCAGGCCUGCCCAGGUGGCUUCUCCCUGGGAGGAGAAGGGCGAGCGCAGCCUCUCGGGGGCUGCAGGGAAACCAGAGUGCCAGGGAGCGCUGGCCGAUGAGCAUCACAGGAGCCCAUCACGGCCUGGAUUGUUAUGAAAACUUUUCAUACCAGAGAAGAGGGGGAAAGGCACAAAGUCUGCCCCUCCUCACCCCGACUCCCUCCCCACAUGGGUAAGAGAUACUAAAGCCUCAUCCAGUCGCUCCCAUUGCCCAGCGGGGCGGGGCGGGCGGGGGUAUUUCUCCGAACCAGUGAGUCGGCAGCGCCAAGAUCACGGUGAUCUGCAUCUCAGGGGCUGCACCAGCUCUGAACAUGCGGGUGUAGGGCGCGCUAAGAAAUCCCACCAGGAGGGGGCGAUAAACACCAAGACCCAAUGCUGAGUCCAGACAGCGUCAGGACCUUGAGAUUCGCUCACCUUUGCGCAUCUGACCCACCCCGAGUGGACCUUCGAUAGCACAGCUGCUAAUGGUCCCACACCUCUUCCAGGUGCGCGUCCCAGAGGGUGUGUGUGGGCGUGGGUGUGGGUGUGGGCUCAGUUUGAGUGUAUGAGAAUGAACGAGGUGAAUGGCCCGCGAAAUCUCUUAGUCGCGAAUCUUGAGAAAGAGAUGAAAAGCUCUUUUGAAAAAGCUGGUAUGAUAGGAGGAGGAGGGUAGAAAGUGAUGGGGUACCCAGGAAGACUACUGCCUAAUUGGCAGACUUCCCAUCAAUUACGGUGCGUUGGGACACUUCUCGUCGGGUUUUUCUCUGUCUCCCCCUAGUGGACAUCAAAGGAACUUUACAAACUUUUUUAACAGGGAAGAUACAUUGUUUUCCGUUUCUCUCCCUCCCUCCCGUCCUUCCUCAUCAUUGCUUUAUUUUAAAUUUUUAUUCUGCUGUUUUUCAUCUUUUAGUGUUCAGUGGACAUCAGCAAGGAAAUAGAACAUGAGACAGCAAAUAAAAUACUAAAAUUUGUCUGGCUCCUGGCAGAGUUCCAAGUCGUCCUGUUAAACAAGUUACUAAAUAAUACAUAACUCCAUGUGUGUACAUGUGCAUACACGUGAAUGUAAAUGGCCUGAAAAGUUUGGGGAAGGAUCUGAAAGGAUGCACAUCCAACACGGUGACUGCUGGGGAGGGGGAAGCAAAGAGAUUUUUAGAUUUUCCUGCAAUGUUUGUGUCCUUAGAUGAGAAUGCACUCUGUGAAGUUAAAAAUUAAUAAACAUAGAUUUUUAGCAUAAAACUAAUCUAUGCUUCUUAAAAAAGUUACAGUACUCACUGUAUAGUUAAGUAGAAUGCUAGUUAUGAAGUAAUACAUAUGAUAUAAUUCCAUGUCUUAAAAUAAUGUAUGUGCAGCACAGAAAAAAGGCCGGGAAAGUAAAACUUUUACUGAUCAUUAUUUCUGAAAGGUAGGGUUAAGGCAGUCUUUAUUAUUUAUUCAGUGAUCUAUGUCAUAUAUCAUGCUGUAUUUCUGUGUUAUCUCUCUCUAUUUUUUUUUUUUUUUUUGGUUUUUUAGGGCCACACCCAAGGCAUAUGGAGGUUCCCAGGCUGGGGGUCCAGUCGGAGCUAUAGCUCCUGGCCUACCCACUGCCACAGCAACAUGGGAUCUGAGCCGCUUCUGAGACCUACACCACAGCUCAUAGCAAUGCCAGAUCUCUGACCUACUGAGCAAAGCCAGGGAUCAAACCCACAUCCUCAUGGAUCCUAGUCAGAUUCAUUUCUUUUGCACCACGACAGGAACUCCAGUGUUUCGAUUGUAUUGCUUUGCAGGUAUAAACUGGGAAGAACUAACAUCUUUUCCCCAUGAUCAUGAUAUAUCUUACCAUAAAUCAGAAUUUUUGCAUCCUUCAGUAAAGUUUUAUAAUUGCGUUUGUAAAGGUGGAGUUUUAGGGGAUUUUUUCGGUUAUUCUUUUCUAGACGUGUAAUUUUCUCUGGGGUUUUUGUUGUUUCAUUUUGCUUUGUAGAAUGAGGUUCCUUCCUACUGCCUAUGUAUGAUUGAUUAUUAUUGAUGGAUUUCAACAGAACUAUUGAUUUUUCCACGUUGACCUCAUAUUUAACCACUUGCUGAAAUUUGUAAUUGGUUUUAAAGGUUUGAACAUCAGUUCUCUGGGACUUUUCAGAUGCCUGAUCCAAUCAUUGAUAAAGAGUUUUCUUUUCCUUUCAAAGAUUUAUACUUUUUCCUUUUUCUUGUCUUAUUUCAUAACUAGGACCACUAGUAAAAUUUGGGGUUGGAGCAGGAAUUGUGGGCACCCUUGUCUUCUGACAUGAGUGGGACUACUUCUAAUGUUUCUCCAUGAAAUGUAUUUGUUACUUAGCUUUUAUCUUAUCGAUGCAAAAUCAUUUUUCAGCAUAUUGAAAACUACCUUUCUUUAUUCCAAUCAUUGCUUUUGACAUCAACUGACACAGGAAGUGAUGAAAACAAGGCGAUACUGCAAAGCUGUGUUAUCCAACAGAAAUUUCUGAGAUAGGUAAACCAAUGAGACUCAGCAGGUUAAGAGCCCUACAUAGUGCCCAUGAGGAUGCGGCUUCGAUUCCUGGCCUCCCUCAGUAGGUUAAGGAUCUGGUGUUGUUGUAAGCUGCAGCAUGGGUUCAAGUUGAAGAUUGGAUAUGGAAUUGCUGUGGCUGUGACGUAGGCCAACAGCUGUGGCUCCAAUUUGACCCCUAGCCCGGGGAUUUCCAUAUGCAGCGGGCAAGGGUGUAAAAAGAAAAAAGAAAGUAAUUUCUGAGAUAAUAGAAAAGCCUACAUCUGCAACUCUCCAGUCAGGACUGCAGCCACUAAUCCCUUGUGGUUACUGAGCACUUGAAAGGCCUCUAGGAAUUCCCGUUGUGGCUCAGUGAGUUAAGAAGCCAACUAGUAUCCGUAAGAAUGUGGGUUCAGUCCUUGGCCUCGCUCUAAUGGGUUAAGGAUCCAGUGUUGCUGCAAGCUGUGGUGUAGGUUGCAGAUGCAGCUUGGACCCUGUGUGGCUGUGGCAUAGACCAGCCGCUGCAGGUCCGAUUUGACCCCUAGCCUGGGAACUUCCAUUUGGGACAGGAGCAGCCCUAAAAACAAAACAAACAACAACAACCAAAAAAACUGUGGAACAAUGUGGGUUUAUGAAUUUAUUUUUCAACUGUGACUUUACAGUUUAAAUACUGAUCAAGUAUUUCCAAUGAAAAUUCAGCAUCCAAAUUAAGAUGUGUUGCAAGUAAAAAUACAAACUGGAUUUUAAAGGUUUGGUUCAGAAAAGGAAUGUAGGAUAAGACUUGACACCAUGAAACUCCUAGAAGCAAUAAUAGGCAAAUUCUCUGACAUAAAUCAUGCCAGUGUCUUUUAGGUCAGUCUCCCAAGGCAAUAGGAAUAAACACCAAAGUAAACAAAUGGGACCUAAUCAAACUCACAGACUUUUGCACAGCAAAAGGAAACCACAGACAAAAAAAAAAAAAAAGGACAACCUACAGAAUGGGCGAAAAUAUUUAAAAACGAUCUACCAGCAAGGGCUUAAUUUCCAAACAGCUCAUAAAACUCAACAAUAAAAACCCAAAUCACUGGAUUAAAAAAAAUUGGCAGAAGACCUAAAUAGACAUUUCUUCAAAGAAGACAUACAGAUGGCCAAUAGGCACAUGAAAAGAUGCUCAACAUCACUAAUUAUUAGAGAAAUGUAAAUCAAACUACAGUGAGGUACCAUCUCACACCAGUAGAAUAGCCAUCAUUUAAAAAGUUUACAGAUGACAAAUGCUGGAAAGGGUGUGGAGAAAAGGGAAAUGUCCUGCACUGUUGGUGAGAAUGUAAGUUGGUGUAGCCACUGUGGAAAACAGUGUAGAGUUUCCUCAAAAACUAAAAAUAAAACUACUGUAUGAUCCAGCAAUUCCACUCCUGGGCAUAUAUCCAGACAAAACUAUAAUUCAAAAAGAUACAUGCACCCCUAUGUUCAUUGCAGUGCUCUUCCCAAUAGCCAAGACACAGAAACAACCUAAAUGUUCAUUAGCAGAUGAAUGGAUUAAGAAAAUGUGGUUAAAAAAAAAAGAAAGAAAGAAAGAUGGGAAUUCCUGUCCUGGCUCAGUGGUAACAAAUCCAACUAGUUUCCAUGAGGACACGGUUUUGAUCCCUGGCCUUGCUUAGUGGGUUAAGGAUCCAGCGUUGCUGUGAGCUGUGGUGUAGGUCACAGACAUGGCUUGGAUCUGUUGUUGAUGUGGCUGUAGUUUAGGCCAGAGGCUACAGCUCUGUUUUGAUCCCUAUCCUGAGAAUCUCCAUAGGCCGCAAGUGGGGCCCUAAAAAGAUCAAAAAAAAAAGAAAAAGAAAAAA